RNAcentral lists this ribosomal RNA (253 nucleotides) under uncultured bacterium. RNAcentral's name for it is "partial 16S ribosomal RNA". It matches the Rfam family "Bacterial small subunit ribosomal RNA", at positions 524 to 776 of the family's 1533-position model. The record is from RNAcentral.
UACAUAGGGUGCAAGCGUUGUCCGGAAUUAUUGGGCGUAAAGAGCUCGUAGGUGGUUCGUUACGUCGGAUGUGAAAAUCUGGGGCUCAACCCCAGACCUGCAUUCGAUACGGGCGAACUAGAGUGUGGUAGGGGAGACUGGAAUUCCUGGUGUAGCGGUGGAAUGCGCAGAUAUCAGGAGGAACACCAAUGGCGAAGGCAGGUCUCUGGGCCAUUACUGACACUGAGGCACGAAAGCCGGGGGAGCAAACAGG